CAGUCGCCGCGGGAAUACGAAGGGUGCAAGCGUUAAUCGGAAUUACUGGGCGUAAAGCGUGCGUAGGCGGUUUGUUAAGUCUGUUGUGAAAUCCCCGGGCUCAACCUGGGAAUGGCAAUGGAUACUGGCAAGCUAGAGUGUGUCAGAGGAUGGUGGAAUUCCCGGUGUAGCGGUGAAAUGCGUAGAGAUCGGGAGGAACAUCAGUGGCGAAGGCGGCCAUCUGGGACUACACUGACGCUGAGGCACGAAAGCGUGGGGAGCAAACAGGAUUAGAUACCCCCGUAGUCCCUGUCUCUUAUAC
This 301-nucleotide ribosomal RNA is filed under the name uncultured bacterium. RNAcentral's name for it is "partial 16S ribosomal RNA". It matches the Rfam family "Bacterial small subunit ribosomal RNA", at positions 509 to 807 of the family's 1533-position model. The record is from RNAcentral.